UUAAUUGUCAAUAAUGUUGCAACACAGGC
This 29-nucleotide small RNA is filed under the name Bombyx mori (domestic silkworm). RNAcentral's name for it is "ovarian small RNA-36398". The record is from RNAcentral. Lineage: Eukaryota; Metazoa; Arthropoda; Insecta; Lepidoptera; Bombycidae.